UGCAGUCGAGCGGAGAGAGGUAGCUUGCUACUGAUCUUAGCGGCGGACGGGUGAGUAAUGCUUAGGAAUCUGCCUAUUAGUGGGGGACAACAUUUCGAAAGGAAUGCUAAUACCGCAUACGUCCUACGGGAGAAAGCAGGGGAUCUUCGGACCUUGCGCUAAUAGAUGAGCCUAAGUCGGAUUAGCUAGUUGGUGGGGUAAAGGCCUACCAAGGCGACGAUCUGUAGCGGGUCUGAGAGGUUGAUCCGCCACACUGGGACUGAGACACGGCCCAGACUCCUACGGGAGGCAGCAGUGGGGAAUAUUGGACAAUGGGCGCAAGCCUGAUCCAGCCAUGCCGCGUGUGUGAAGAAGGCCUUAUGGUUGUAAAGCACUUUAAGCGAGGAGGAGGCUACUCUAGUUAAUACCUAGAGAUAGUGGACGUUACUCGCAGAAUAAGCACCGGCUAACUCUGUGCCAGCAGCCGCGGUAAUACAGAGGGUGCAAGCGUUAAUCGGAUUUACUGGGCGUAAAGCGCGCGUAGGCGGCUAAAUUAAGUCAAAUGUGAAAUCCCCGAGCUUAACUUGGGAAUUGCAUUCGAUACUGGUUAGCUAGAGUGUGGGGAGAGGAUGGUAGAAUUCCAGGUGUAGCGGUGAAAUGCGUAGAGAUCUGGAGGAAUACCGAUGGCGAAGGCAGCCAUCUGGCCUAACACUGACGCUGAGGUGCGAAAGCAUGGGGAGCAAACAGGAUUAGAUACCCUGGUAGUCCAUGCCGUAAACGAUGUCUACUAG
This 770-nucleotide ribosomal RNA is filed under the name Acinetobacter pittii. Its description in RNAcentral is "bacterial SSU rRNA". It matches the Rfam family "Bacterial small subunit ribosomal RNA", at positions 56 to 819 of the family's 1533-position model. The record is from RNAcentral. Lineage: Bacteria; Pseudomonadati; Pseudomonadota; Gammaproteobacteria; Moraxellales; Moraxellaceae.